GAUGAACGCUGGCGGCGUGCCUAAUACAUGCAAGUCGAGCGAACAGAUAAGGAGCUUGCUCCCUUGACGUUAGCGGCGGACGGGUGAGUAACACGUGGGUAACCUACCUAUAAGACUGGGAUAACUUCGGGAAACCGGAGCUAAUACCGGAUAACAUUUGGAACCGCAUGGUUCUAAAGUGAAAGAUGGUUUUGCUAUCACUUAUAGAUGGACCCGCGCCGUAUUAGCUAGUUGGUAAGGUAACGGCUUACCAAGGCAACGAUACGUAGCCGACCUGAGAGGGUGAUCGGCCACACUGGAACUGAGACACGGUCCAGACUCCUACGGGAGGCAGCAGUAGGGAAUCUUCCGCAAUGGGCGAAAGCCUGACGGAGCAACGCCGCGUGAGUGAUGAAGGGUUUCGGCUCGUAAAACUCUGUUAUUAGGGAAGAACAAAUGUGUAAGUAACUGUGCACGUCUUGACGGUACCUAAUCAGAAAGCCACGGCUAACUACGU
This 496-nucleotide ribosomal RNA is filed under the name uncultured bacterium. RNAcentral describes it as "partial 16S ribosomal RNA". It matches the Rfam family "Bacterial small subunit ribosomal RNA", at positions 28 to 506 of the family's 1533-position model. The record is from RNAcentral.